UAAGUGUUGGAGGGUUUCCGCCCUUCAGUGNUGCAGCUAACGCAUUAAGCAUUCCGCCUGGGGAGUACGGCCGCAAGGCUGAAACUCAAAGGAAUUGACGGGGGCCCGCACAAGCGGUGGAGCAUGUGGUUUAAUUCGAAGCUACGCGAAGAACCUUACCAGGUCUUGACAUACUAUGCAAAUCUAAGAGAUUAGACGUUCCCUUCGGGGACAUGGAUACAGGUGGUGCAUGGUUGUCGUCAGCUCGUGUCGUGAGAUGUUGGGUUAAGUCCCGCAACGAGCGCAACCCUUAUUAUCAGUUGCCAGCAUUAAGUUGGGCACUCUGGUGAGACUGCCGGUGACAAACCGGAGGAAGGUGGGGAUGACGUCAAAUCAUCAUGCCCCUUAUGACCUGGGCUACACACGUGCUACAAUGGAUGGUACAACGAGUUGCGAACUCGCGAGAGUAAGCUAAUCUCUUAAAGCCAUUCUCAGUUCGGAUUGUAGGCUGCAACUCGCCUACAUGAAGUCGGAAUCGCUAGUAAUCGCGGAUCAGCAUGCCGCGGUGAAUACGUUCCCGGGCCUUGUACACACCGCCCGUCACACCAUGAGAGUUUGUAACACCCAAAGUCGGU
Molecule: ribosomal RNA, 614 nt
Filed under: Lactiplantibacillus plantarum
Lineage: Bacteria; Bacillati; Bacillota; Bacilli; Lactobacillales; Lactobacillaceae
Description: bacterial SSU rRNA
Rfam family: Bacterial small subunit ribosomal RNA
Source: RNAcentral